This 253-nucleotide unclassified non-coding RNA is filed under the name uncultured Microbacteriaceae bacterium. RNAcentral's name for it is "contains 16S-23S intergenic spacer region". It matches the Rfam family "Bacterial small subunit ribosomal RNA", at positions 524 to 776 of the family's 1533-position model. The record is from RNAcentral. Lineage: Bacteria; Bacillati; Actinomycetota; Actinomycetes; Micrococcales; Microbacteriaceae.
UACGUAGGGUGCAAGCGUUAUCCGGAAUUAUUGGGCGUAAAGAGCUCGUAGGCCGUUUGUCGCGUCUGCUGUGAAAUCUGGGGGCUCAACCCCCAGCCUGCAGUGGGUACGGGCAGACUAGAGUGCGGUAGGGGAGAUUGGAAUUCCUGGUGUAGCGGUGGAAUGCGCAGAUAUUAGGAGGAACACCGAUGGCGAAGGCAGAUCUCUGGGCCGUAACUGACGCUGAGGAGCGAAAGGGUGGGGAGCAAACAGG